AUGGCUUCAUCCGGUUCCAUGACGAGGCCACCGUGUGCUGAUCGUGAAGACAUGCCGAACAAGUGGGAGAACGCCAAGCUGGACGAGGUGACGGAAAAAGUUAACAAAACUCCAUCAUGUUGGUGUGGAGAUGUUUGCAAGGUGAAGGUGUCCACCGACCGCAAGAAGUUAUGGACGGAAGGGAGAAGAUUCUUUGUGUGUCCCAACUAUGCACAUGAUCGGAGGCUACCAACAAACGCAUAUGACGUACCACCGUCACCGCCUCCUCUUUGCAAGUACUUCACAUGGAUAGAUCAAGAUGUUCCAGAGGAUGUCAAAAAGGACCAAUAUCAAGAUUGUCUUAGGAGGCAACGGCGGUUUGAAGAAGCAUUUCAGAGGGGCUUGGACGAAGAGCGUCGUCAGAAGGAGAAGAUGGAACGAAAGAAACGCGAGGAGGAGAGGGCACGCAAAGAGAAGGUUGCUCGUGCAGAAGAGAGGGCAAGAAAGCUUGCACGGGCUCGUGAUGCACAAGAGGAGGAUGAGGCACGUUACAAGAAGGGCAAAGGGCCCAUGUUUCCUUAG
Molecule: ribosomal RNA, 561 nt
Filed under: Triticum aestivum (bread wheat)
Lineage: Eukaryota; Viridiplantae; Streptophyta; Magnoliopsida; Poales; Poaceae
Description: partial small subunit ribosomal RNA
Source: RNAcentral